UGGCUCAGUGGUAGAGUGCUUGCCUUGCAUGCAUGAGGCCAUGGGUUCGAUUCCUUA
This 57-nucleotide transfer RNA is filed under the name Dipodomys ordii (Ord's kangaroo rat). It matches the Rfam family "tRNA", at positions 8 to 63 of the family's 71-position model. From Rfam's summary of the family: Transfer RNA (tRNA) molecules are approximately 80 nucleotides in length. The record is from Rfam by way of RNAcentral. Lineage: Eukaryota; Metazoa; Chordata; Mammalia; Rodentia; Heteromyidae.